RNAcentral lists this long non-coding RNA (353 nucleotides) under Oryza sativa (Asian cultivated rice). RNAcentral's name for it is "long non-coding RNA (OSAT_LNC000623)". Lineage: Eukaryota; Viridiplantae; Streptophyta; Magnoliopsida; Poales; Poaceae. The record is from RNAcentral.
GUACUUCCGCAUGCCAUUGUAGUUCUAAUUUCUUGUGCAUCAAUUACUUUUACGCUGUUCCUGGCUGUCACUCCACUGAAGUCAGCAAGUAAUGAACCUGAAACUCAGGAGCUAUCUGAGCACUCUCAGAGAGAAGAUCCAGAUACUACUUAUCAAAGAGAAGCAAGUAAUGAACCUGAAACUCAGGAGCUAUCUGAGCACUCUCAGAGAGAAGAUCCAGAUACUACUUAUCAAAUAGAAGUAAGUAAUGAACGUGAAACUCAGCAGCUAUCUGAGCACUCUCAGAUAGAAGAUCCAGAUACUUUUUAUCAUAGAGAGGAGCUUUCUCUGGUUGAACAGAAAGAAGAUCAUAC